GACGAACGCUGGCGGCGUGCUUAACACAUGCAAGUCGAGCGGUAAGGCCCUUUCGGGGGUACACGAGCGGCGAACGGGUGAGUAACACGUGGGUGACCUGCCCUCAGCUCUGGGAUAAGCCUGGGAAACCGGGUCUAAUACUGGAUAUGACUCCAUGACGCAUGUUGUGGGGUGGAAAGCCUUGUGCGGCUGAGGAUGGGCCCGCGGCCUAUCAGCUUGUUGGUGGGGUGAGGCCUACCAAGGCGACGACGGGUAGCCGGCCUGAGAGGGCGACCGGCCACACUGGGACUGAGACACGGCCCAGACUCCUACGGGAGGCAGCAGGUGGGGAAUCUUGCGCAAGUGGGCGAAAGCCUGACGCAGCGACGCCGCGUGA
RNAcentral lists this ribosomal RNA (376 nucleotides) under uncultured bacterium. RNAcentral describes it as "bacterial SSU rRNA". It matches the Rfam family "Bacterial small subunit ribosomal RNA", at positions 28 to 404 of the family's 1533-position model. The record is from RNAcentral.